UCCACUAGAGGGAAUACUGAGAAGUUUGCAUUGGGAGAUUCGCAUGACAUACGCUCAGGAUAAAGAGGGCAUACUGUGUGCACAAAAAACCAUGUGGCGCCCUUAAAACUCACCUCAUGAAUAUGUACAGUGAGUGGUUGCGAGAUGAAAGUAAAAUAGAUGGAAGGCAAAAAUUUUUUAGCUUCUGCCUUCGACACUGAAUGUUCAUUUACUGUGAAAUAUAUGCUCAAUCACUCAUUUUUACCUCAUCUACCAAUUGAGAAUCUACCUUUUACAUUGGUUUUCGUGACAUAUAUUCAAUCUGCACUUUUUCUCUAUUUUCCCCGUUAUUUUUGCAUCCGUAUUAGUGUGAAAGGAAGGUUUGGCUU
This 368-nucleotide long non-coding RNA is filed under the name Populus trichocarpa (black cottonwood). Its description in RNAcentral is "long non-coding RNA (PTRI_LNC000794)". The record is from RNAcentral. Lineage: Eukaryota; Viridiplantae; Streptophyta; Magnoliopsida; Malpighiales; Salicaceae.